CCUACGGGUGGCAGCAGUGAGGAAUAUUGGUCAAUGGACGAGAGUCUGAACCAGCCAAGUAGCGUGAAGGAUGACUGCCCUAUGGGUUGUAAACUUCUUUUAUAUGGGAAUAAAAUGUUCCACGUGUGGGAUUUUGUAUGUACCAUAUGAAUAAGGAUCGGCUAACUCCGUGCCAGCAGCCGCGGUAAUACGGAGGAUCCGAGCGUUAUCCGGAUUUAUUGGGUUUAAAGGGAGCGUAGGUGGAUUGUUAAGUCAGUUGUGAAAGUUUGCGGCUCAACCGUAAAAUUGUAGUUGAAACUGGCAGUCUUGAGUACAGUAGAGGUGGGCGGAAUUCGUGGUGUAGCGGUGAAAUGCUUAGAUAUCACGAAGAACUCCGAUUGCGAAGGCAGUUCACUGGACUGCAACUGACACUGAGGCUCGAAAGUGUGGGUAUCAAACAGGAUUAGAUACCCCAGUAGAC
RNAcentral lists this ribosomal RNA (460 nucleotides) under uncultured bacterium. RNAcentral describes it as "partial 16S ribosomal RNA". It matches the Rfam family "Bacterial small subunit ribosomal RNA", at positions 338 to 795 of the family's 1533-position model. The record is from RNAcentral.